RNAcentral lists this ribosomal RNA (253 nucleotides) under uncultured bacterium. RNAcentral's name for it is "partial 16S ribosomal RNA". It matches the Rfam family "Bacterial small subunit ribosomal RNA", at positions 524 to 776 of the family's 1533-position model. The record is from RNAcentral.
UACAGAGGUGGCAAGCGUUGUUCGGAUUUAUUGGGCGUAAAGGGUCCGUAGGCGGUUUGAAAAGUCGGAUGUGAAAUCCCACAGCUCAACUGUGGAACUGCAUUCGAAACUUUCAGACUAGAGUGUGAGAGGGGUAAAGGGAAUUCCCGGUGUAAGGGUGAAAUCUGCAGAGAUCGGGAGGAACACCAGUCGCGAAGGCGCUUUACUGGCUCACUACUGACGCUCAGGGACGAAAGCUAGGGGAGCAAACGGG